Manis pentadactyla (Chinese pangolin) is the source of this 1300-nucleotide long non-coding RNA. RefSeq lists it as uncharacterized. The record is from RefSeq and is a predicted model, not a curated record. The transcript has 4 exons. Lineage: Eukaryota; Metazoa; Chordata; Mammalia; Pholidota; Manidae.
CUGGCUGUCAGUAGAUGAUCCUUAUCUAUUGUCGUCCGCUAGACCCUAUGCCAAGUGAGGUCACUCUGAGGGUCCGGCGGACGUGAGUCUGGGGGCCCUACUCAGCCCCCAGCGGAGCGUCAGACACUCGCUAGUGCGGGGCGGUGUCCCAAGGCCAGAGCCGCCGCCUCGCCGCCGCCGGCCCAGCCUGUCCACUGGGCCCCCACGGAGGUCGGCUCUGAGCUCGGCAGCGUCCGGAGGGGGACCGGGAGCUGGCCCCACCCUGCCCUUGAGGAGCCUAGCCUUGGGAGCCUGGGAAACGCGAGUGGUCCCAAGGUUAAUUAAUUAUUACAUUUGAAAUGCGCCCAUUAAGGGUCCCACAAACAGGAAAGUAUUAAUCACCCAUUUCCUCAGAGUGACAAGUGCAUUUCCCUAAAUUCCUCUGCUGCUGACUUAACUGAAUGAUAAUCUCCCUGCGGCUGCAUUUCCCGGGAAGUCACGGCUCAUGAAUAUUCUGGCAUCGCAAUUUGCUUUUUAAAAGGACAGACUUAUUAAUUCAUUUUUAAGUUUGCUGUCAUGAAUAGUAAUUCUCAGGCCUUCACAUAAUGAAAUGGCAGUGGCCUAGUCAGCCAGACAGUUCCCGGUCCUGUCGGGGGUGGAGUGAGGGGUGCCAGGCCUUCCUGCCCCUGGCUCCAGACACACAGUCGCCCGGGCAACGUCAAGUCGCCACAACACAAGAGUGUCACCGCUGGUGAGCCAGGUGGACGGUGGGACGCCGAGCCACGGAGUCAGACAGGAGGCUGUGUGAUCUUGGGCAAGGCCUGGAGGGACACGACACGCCGGCCUGAAGUUCAGAUCUUCUGUUCCCGAGCAGACAGAGGAACCGCACCGACCAGCGGCUUCCCCGGGAGCAUCUGCCCGGGGUGAUUUCUGUCACUUGAUGCAAUUACGACAGACUCCCAAGUGCCCAGUCAACAGCAGCGAUUCGCUACCUACACAUUUAAGUAGAAAUCAGAGGUGGUGCCAUCGCAUCAACGGGGCCCGUCACCGUGACCCCCCACAGACUGGACGACACCUCCAGUCCCGCUGCGCUCCCAGACCUCUCACCACCCUGGGCCAUCUCUCUGCACCUGCCCAGCCAGCGCUUCCCACCCUGGACCCUAAGACUCAAGUCAGGCCCCUCGGCGGCAAAGCCCACCCUGGCAGCCCCCACCAGGCUUGAGUCUGGGGACCUCUCAGGACCUACGGGAUCCGAGGUCUGGUCUCCGUGUGUCCCUCCCUCCUCGACCCCAGGCCAAUACAGGGCCCGUAGCCAAGCCUC